RNAcentral lists this long non-coding RNA (404 nucleotides) under Manihot esculenta (cassava). Its description in RNAcentral is "long non-coding RNA (MESC_LNC003217)". Lineage: Eukaryota; Viridiplantae; Streptophyta; Magnoliopsida; Malpighiales; Euphorbiaceae. The record is from RNAcentral.
UCCAUCUCAUUUUCCACAUUCUCCAAUCUCCCGAUUCCCCCACCCCUAUUCUCCCGAAAGAUGAGGAUGACGAAGACUACGAAGACGAUGAUGACUGAUGAGGGGGGCGAGGACGACGAAGACGACGAGGUUCAGGUCUUACAAUCCUCCAGAGGGCCACCGGUUCAGUCGGCGGACGACGACGAGGAUGACGAUGAAGAUGACGAUGGUGAAGGCGGAGACGACGAUGACGAUGGUGAAGGCGGAGACGACGAUGACGAUGACGAUGACGAUGACGACGACGAGGAGGAAGACGGUGACGAGGAUCAAGACGGUGAAGAAGAGUUUGGCUCUCGACAUCCAGCUCUUCGUCUACACCGUCGAAACGGCUCACACGCGAGAAGGGCCUGAUCUCUCACCCUCCG